UGAAAUCAGCCACAAAGUCAGCUAGUGCUUGGGAUUUAAUGGCUGUUCUUGGCUCAUAUCUUAUAUCAUGGGCACUAAGCUUUACUGCCCACUUAGCCAUUCUUCCUGACAUCUCUGGUUUCCUGAGGACGACAUUCUUAAUUGGAAAAUUAGUUCUAACAACAAUAGUAUGGGUUUCAAAAUAAUGUCUUAACUUAGUCGAUGCCAUGAUUAAUGCAAGGAUAAGUUUUUCGAGGUGUGAGUACCUGGAUUCGGCAUCAAGUAGACUUUUACUUACAUAGUAGAUAGGAUAUUGUGUACCUUCGUGAUCCUUAACAAGGACAGCACUUACAGCGGUUGAGGAUACCGCCAGAUAUAAGGAUAACACAUCUCCUUUUUCCGGUUUUGCUAAUGCUGGUGCUGAGGACAUAUACUCUUUUAGGGCUUGUAAAGCAUUCUCAUGCUUCUCAGUCCAUUCGAACUUCUUAUUCUUCCUUAGGAUAUCGUAGAAUUCUUUGCAUUUUUCUGAGGAUUUCGAUAUGAACCUGUUCAAAGCUGCUAUCCUGCCUGUCAGUCUUUGAACAUCCUUGGCAUUGGCAGGAGAUUUGAUAUUUAUUAAUGCUUUGAUUUGUUCCGGGCUUGCUUCAAUGCCCCUCUGGGUUACCAUGUAUCCUAAGAACUUUCCUGCCUUAACACCAAAAUGGCAUUUUGAAGGAUUAAGUUUCAUGUUGUAACUAUCAAGGAUAUCGAAUGCUUCUUCCAAGUCCCUUAGGUGAUCCU
This 759-nucleotide long non-coding RNA is filed under the name Helianthus annuus (common sunflower). The record is from RNAcentral. Lineage: Eukaryota; Viridiplantae; Streptophyta; Magnoliopsida; Asterales; Asteraceae.